Molecule: ribosomal RNA, 254 nt
Filed under: uncultured bacterium
Lineage: Bacteria
Description: partial 16S ribosomal RNA
Rfam family: Bacterial small subunit ribosomal RNA
Source: RNAcentral
CGGAGGAUACGAGCGUUAUCCGGAUUUAUUGGGUUUAAAGGGUGCGUAGGUGGCUGAUUAAGUCAGUGGUGAAAAGCUAUGGCUCAACCAUAGUCUUGCCGUUGAUACUGGUUAGCUUGAGUGUAGAUGAUGUAGGCGGAACGCGUAGUGUAGCGGUGAAAUGCAUAGAUAUUACGCAGAACUCCGAUUGCGAAGGCAGCUUACAAAACUACUACUGACACUGAUGCACGAAAGCGUGGGUAUCAAACAGGAUU